CAAGUCCUCCAACUCAUACGACCGUAUGGGUCGUUUGUCACUAUCCAUAAAUACGACCCACACGAGCGUUCUCUAAAUUAGCGCCCCUAUUGGCAACAGGAGGUAUGAUAAAUGAACUUUCGCCUAAAUGCAUUGUGGGUUUAUUUUAACAUGUUUGCUAUUUGCGUUUUGAAUUGUUUGAUUUAAACUCUCCCAGAUGUUCGUGGAUUUUGAUGAUAUGGAUUUUAGAUGACUUCGAGACAUGUACAGGUAAGGUUUUCUCCCGUCUCAUAAAGUAGUCGAUCGUUUAUGAAUAAUAUGAGUUUUUAUUUUCAAAUCGAUACUGGACACUGUAUGUCCUAUUAAACCAGUUUGACGUUCAAAUCAUUUAAUCGAAAUCUGCAGCUUUAUAAAGUUAGUUUUCAUUGUGAUAUUCGUUUGAAAUUCGCCUGUGGUGGAAAGAGGUCAUGUAAAAGUCGCGCAUUUACCAUGUUUUUACCAUAGUAACAUGUCGCUGAACCAUGUCACGUGUUAUAAAACCUCAGUAACCACAACUCAAUGUAUCUCCCGUCAUAACUGUAGUUUUACUUUGGUAUUUGUAGUAUAAACACGUUACCAUGCUUUUCACCACAGUAACUGUGCUUAUUGUGUACUCUUUAGUUAAGUAACACAUUUGCCAUGCCUUUAAUACCUUUUUGUAAUGUAAUUGUGAUUCAGUGUUUUUUUUCUUUUCAGUUUUGCAGUUUCUUCAUAUCACAUACAUCUCCAGCUCCUACAACAACAUUCAGUGUCCAGCAGCUCUUUAUGAUGCUCUCUCUCUCUCUCUCUCUUUCUCUCUCACUCUCUCUCUCUCUCUCUCUCUCUCAUUUUCCUUUCCUAUUUUUCUGAACUGUAAUUCAUAAAUAAGUCACACAUAUUUUUCUUUCUUUCUCUUGUUCAUCAUGGCAUAUUUUCACAGCUCAGAAUCAGAUUUUGAUCAGUUCUUGUAUUAACAGGGAACUUGUACUCGAAGCUCAACUUGAAGAAGUUUCCAGUGAAGAUGAAGUCCUUCAAAGGUUCGACACAGCUGAAAAGGAAGACCAUGGGCCUGUCAAACCUUGUUUGUGGAGAGGGAUGAAUUUGACCAUCUUGUGUGUUUACGGAGAAGACCAAAAGCUGCUAAGGCAGAUAUUUCCAGAGGUACAAACAGAGCGGAUGGUUGCAUGAUGGCCUCUUUCAGGUUUGUCAACUGAAUGUCUACUAGUGUGGCUCAGCAAGUUCCUGUCAUGAUCAGCCCUCUCCAAGAAAGCUGAAGAGCAAAAACACAAAGAACAUCAGUCCUGUUGGGGAUGAGGAAUGAACAUGGCUCUAUUGUGCCCAAACAGAAAAGAGUGAAAAGUCCUAGAAUGAACAAAUCAUCAGGGCAUCAUUUCUGGAAUUUGGGCAGAAAAUGACUGAAUAUGAAAGACUGCAGUAGAAGGAAAGCUGGUACUGAGAACAUUUGUCUUCACUCCAGACUAAAGAGAAGCGGGGUCUGAGGCCAGAGAUGGAGGAGUCAAUGGUCACCAAAUGCAGCGCUGCAGCCUGAAACUGUGAAGACUGAAUUCCCAAACAGCUGUGUGACUGCACAGAUGUUACGGCCAUAAAAGAAACUUCACAACUGAGAGCCCAUACCUCCAACAACCUUCAACAGGAAUCAAUGGACAUCUACGCAAGGUUUUUCUUUUGUUGAGGACCGUCAGAGACUCCAGCCACACGAGCCAUGGAUUGCUCUCAACAUCACCAUCAGACAGACAUUAUCACAGAACCAGCACCAGCAGACUGCAAAACAAGUUCCUUCAACAGGCAAUCAGACUGAACUGAACUCGUACCAGUAACACCACACACACACACACACACACACACACACACACAUACACACACCAGCAGCCUCAUACUGUGUGCACUGCACUCUAUCAGCUACACUGACUGGACUCUGACUCACUAUUAUUCUGCAACCUGAUAUUCUGUUUGCACUAAUUCAUACUGUACUGAAAGUGAAAGUGACGUGACAUACAGUCAAGUAUGGUGACCCAUACUCAGAAUUUGUGCUCUGCAUUUAACCCAUCCGAAGUGCACACACACAGAGCAGUGAACACACACACACUGUGAACACACACCCGGAGCAGUGGGCAGAGGUAUAUCUACAGUAUACAGUGAUUGUUGUUAAUUGUUUUCAUUUUGUUCUCUCUGUAUAGUAUAGUAUUGCACUAUAUUUUCUACCUGUAUUGAGCUCUUAUGUAUACGGUUUAUAUUUUUGAUACUGUAUAUGUGUUGCAAAUAUAUUCAGUACUUGUCAUGCUGCAGUUUGCAGAAAAGCAUUUUACCACCUGUAUACUUGCAUUCAUGGUAUUGUGAUAAUAAAAUGAUUUGAUUUGAA
This is a long non-coding RNA of Carassius gibelio (silver crucian carp), 2377 nucleotides long. RefSeq lists it as uncharacterized. NCBI's taxonomy places the organism in Eukaryota, Metazoa, Chordata, Actinopteri, Cypriniformes, Cyprinidae. The record is from RefSeq and is a predicted model, not a curated record. The transcript has 7 exons.